AGAGUUUGAUCCUGGCUCAGAUUGAACGCUGGCGGCAUGCCUUACACAUGCAAGUCGAACGGCAGCACGGGGGCAACCCUGGUGGCGAGUGGCGAACGGGUGAGUAAUACAUCGGAACGUGUCCUGUAGUGGGGGAUAGCCCGGCGAAAGCCGGAUUAAUACCGCAUACGCUCUACGGAGGAAAGGGGGGGAUCUUAGGACCUCUCGCUACAGGGGCGGCCGAUGGCAGAUUAGCUAGUUGGUGGGGUAAAGGCCUACCAAGGCGACGAUCUGUAGCUGGUCUGAGAGGACGACCAGCCACACUGGGACUGAGACACGGCCCAGACUCCUACGGGAGGCAGCAGUGGGGAAUUUUGGACAAUGGGGGCAACCCUGAUCCAGCAAUGCCGCGUGUGUGAAGAAGGCCUUCGGGUUGUAAAGCACUUUUGUCCGGAAAGAAAA
This 441-nucleotide ribosomal RNA is filed under the name uncultured bacterium. Its description in RNAcentral is "bacterial SSU rRNA". It matches the Rfam family "Bacterial small subunit ribosomal RNA", at positions 8 to 451 of the family's 1533-position model. The record is from RNAcentral.